This 428-nucleotide ribosomal RNA is filed under the name uncultured bacterium. Its description in RNAcentral is "partial 16S ribosomal RNA". It matches the Rfam family "Bacterial small subunit ribosomal RNA", at positions 354 to 796 of the family's 1533-position model. The record is from RNAcentral.
GUGGGGAAUAUUGGGCAAUGGGCGCAAGCCUGACCCAGCAACGCCGCGUGAGGGAAGAAGGCCUUCGGGUUGUAAACCUCUGUCCUUGGGGACGAAAAAAAUGACGGUACCCAAGGAGGAAGCUCCGGCUAACUACGUGCCAGCAGCCGCGGUAAUACGUAGGGAGCGAGCGUUGUCCGGAAUUACUGGGCGUAAAGGGUGCGUAGGCGGCAUUGCAAUUCAGGUGUGAAAUCCCCGGGCUUAACUCGGGGGGUGCAUUUGAAACUGCAGUGCUUGAGUGCAGGAGAGGAAAGCGGAAUUCCUAGUGUAGCGGUGAAAUGCGUAGAUAUUAGGAGGAACACCAGUGGCGAAGGCGGCUUUCUGGACUGUAACUGACGCUGAGGCACGAAAGCGUGGGGAGCAAACAGGAUUAGAUACCCCGGUAGUCC